UUGAAGGUUUUUUAGCAUGUGUUAUUACACAUGAAUGUGUUGAAUUAGUAAUCCCUUGUGUUAAGCUGUUGUUUUAGUGUUCUUUUGAUGAGUUUGGCUUGUUGUUAUGAAAAGUGUUUGUUUUGGCGAGUUUGAACGUUUUUGAGCAUGUGUAAUGGCAUGAAUGCGUUAAGCUGUUGUUUUAGUGUUCUUUGAUGAGUUUGGCUUGUUGUUAUGAACAUUGUUCGUUUUGGCCAGUUUGAAGGUUUUUUAGCAUGUGUAAUGCAUGAAUGUGUUGAAUUAGUAAUCCCUUGUGUUAAGCUGUUGUUUUAGUGUUCUUUUGAUGAGUUUGGCUUGUUGUUAUGAAAAGUGUUUGUUUUGGCGAGUUUGAAGGUUUUUGAGCAUGUGUAAUGGCAUGAAUGCGUUAAGCUGUUGUUUUAGUGUUCUGUUGAUGAGUUUGGCUUGUUGUUCUGAAACAUUGUUCGUUUUGGCCAGUUUGAAGGUUUUUGAGCAUGUGUAAUGGCAUGAAUGCGUUAAGCUGUUGUUUUAGUGUUCUUAUUGAUGACUUUGGCUUGUUGUUAUGAAAAGUGUUUGUUUUUGCGAGUUUGAACGUUUUUGAGCAUGUGUAAUGGCAUGAAUGCGUUAAGCUGUUGUUUUAGUGUUCUUAUGAUGAGUUUGGCUUGUUGUUAUGAACAUUGUUCGUUUUGGCCAGUUUGAAGGUUUUUGAGCAUGUGUAAUGGCAUGAAUGUGUUGAAUUAGUAAUCCCUUGUGUUAAGCUGUUGUUUUAGUGUUCUUUUGAUGACUUUGGCUUGUUGUUAUGAAAAGUGUUUGUUUUGGCGAGUUUGAACGUUUUUGAGCAUGUGUAAUGGCAUGAAUGCGUUAAGCUGUUGUUUUAGUGUUCUUUGAUGACUUUGGCUUGUUGUUAUGAACAUUGUUCGUUUUGGCCAGUUUGAAGGUUUUUAGCAUGUGUAAUGCAUGUGUAAUGGUGUGAAUGUAAUCCCUUGUGUUAAGCCGUUGUUUUAGUGUUCUUUUGAUGAGUUUGGCUUGUUGUUAUGAAAAGUGUUUGUUUUGGCGAGUUUGAACGUUUUUGAGCAUGUGUAAUGGCAUGAAUGCGUUAAGCUGUUGUUUUAGUGUUCUUAUGAUGAGUUUGGCUUGUUGUUAUGAACAUUGUUCGUUUUGGCCAGUUUGAAGGUUUUUUAGCAUGUGUAAUAGCAUGAAUGUGUUGAAUUAGUAAUCCCUUGUGUUAAGCCGUUGUUUUAGUGUUCUAUUGAUGACUUUGGCUUGUUGUUAUGAAAAGUGUUUGUUUUUGCGAGUUUGAACGUUUUUUAGCAUGUGUAAUGGCAUGAAUGCGUUAAGCUGUUGUUUUAGUGUUCUUAUGAUGAGUUUGG
Molecule: non-coding RNA, 1367 nt
Organism: Xyrichtys novacula (pearly razorfish)
Lineage: Eukaryota; Metazoa; Chordata; Actinopteri; Labriformes; Labridae
Source: the annotation of a GenBank genome assembly